Rhineura floridana is the source of this 2282-nucleotide long non-coding RNA. RefSeq lists it as uncharacterized. Lineage: Eukaryota; Metazoa; Chordata; Lepidosauria; Squamata; Rhineuridae. The transcript is spliced from 3 exons. The record is from RefSeq and is a predicted model, not a curated record.
AGUGGCUUGAAUUUGUACAUGUGAUGCUUUCAACCUUCUGCCUAGAAACUUGACUUCUGGUAGGCUGAAAAAUCCCACUUACCAUCUAUCUGUAAGCAAAGCUGACAGUAACAAAAAUGUGACAGCGUCUAUCUUGUAGUCCAAGGAGAAAGAUCAAAGAUCUCCAUGAGAGAGUCCCCACAAGCAGCAAGUUUCUGGAGGCAGCACAGAUGUGUGGCUUUUCAUGCAAGAGACCUGUGUGUAUGGAAUGGAAGAGGAAUCUGCCCGACAGAUGCCAAAGCAGACUCACCUGAGCCAAUCCAGCUGGAUCAUGACUUUGAUUGGAUCAAUGAGCCACUUCACAAUCCACAGUCUGGUGGAUUCCAUUAUGAAGUAAUCCAAGGGUUGGUGCCUCUUCCCAUUUUUUUCCCCUUUAACACUUCAGAAUAGUGGAUCCAGCUGCCCACUACAUGACGCAGGCUGCCAUACAGUUCCUCUUGGGAGUGAUGGAACAUCAUCAAGUCCCAUCUGUCCCGAGACGGGGGGAUUCCUCUGUGUGCAUUGAAAGCACAUAGUGGCAAGGAGCCCCACACACUAGCUGCUGAGGCAGUGGGCUGGAUACACUACUUCUGAAGGGGAAAAAUUAGGGGUGUGUGGGACGGAGGCAGCACACAACCCUCAGACUACUCCCUAAGUACUUUGAAAUGUGUGUUUCCAGGAGGAUUUUUUGAGCUUUUCUAUUAAAAUUCCGCCUGGAAACAGGACAAGACAGACUUAGUUCCCUCUUAGAACUUUAAUGGGUUCCUCCAUCCCUCUUUAUUGUUGGUGUGUGUGGGGGUUGUUGUUAAAUUGCUUUGAGUGGUUUCAUAGGAAGUGAUUCAUAAAUGUAAUUAAUUAAUGCUGGAACAAAGAGAUGAGCGGGGCCCUUCUGAUAGUCCUUCUGGAGACAGGAUUCAAAUUCAUGCUGGAUCCUGACCUAGGGUUGCCACCUUUUAACCUGACAAAUUAUGAACACUCCAGCCAUUCUCAGGAGCACAGGGCAAAAUGACAACACAUAGGGGCCCAGUGUAGCUGUAGGUAUUUAGUUUCAUCUUUUUAUUUUAAUUGUUGGGGGUAAAGCCGUUAAAGUAUAAUGGUCAUUGAAGCCUACAAUAUUGAGUACGACAAACUUUUGUCAAAUGGUGGUACAGGAGACCAAAGUGUAGAAGAAACAAACUUAGCACCGGGCAACUCUUAUUAUUGCCUCAAAGUGGCUAUUACCCUGGGUUUUAAUUCUCUGCUGGUCAUCUUGGGACUACUUCCCCCUCCUUUGCUCUCACUUUCAUUACAGUGUCCCUUAUUAGCUAUUGUAGCAAUCCGAUUUCAUACUGAGGUGAUCAAACAGCUUUAAAUGCUGUUGUUCCUUGCUGCAUGCAGCAGCCUUUUGAAGAUGAUUAUGACACACAGUUCGGCCUUAACCAAAAAUAUGAACAUGCUCCAUCCAUAAUACAUUUCCAGGUUAUUAUAAACAAACCUCCCCCAGAUAUGAAGAUCUUCUAAAAAAUUAUGAACGGGGAGCUCAUAAUUCAGCCUGGACAAAAUGAAGGAAUUAUAGGUGAUCAAUUUCAGCAAAAAAAAAGCCGUUUAAAACAGCAAUAGGCCAGAGCCAGUCAUUUGCUGAUUUCCAGUUUCUGGGUCAAGGGUAUCCUCUGGUCUGCUCAGCAGGGGACAUUAUGGCUGCUUGCUCUUGACCCCCAGGUCUUUGCCCUUCUGACCUGAGUCAGGUCUGACAUUUUAUAGUCAAUUUCAUGUUCUGCCAAAGUGGAGUGCAGCUGCAAUGAAGUGGACUGCUACCACACUUUAGCUUUACUUCACCUUUAAAAGUGUUUUUUCUCCCAAGUCAGCUGUAAGCAAGGAUGACUCCCCUCAACUCUCUCUCGCUCUCUCUCUGGCAAAGAUGAAUAAUUUGAUGGCUCUGAAAUUCAUGGACUUGAAGUGCAAUUAAUAUCAGAAUGUUUGGAAAGCAUACACACAGCUAUUACUCUACUCUAAAGGAAAGGGUUGUGGAAAUGCAGGUUCCAGAAGUCAUUUCCUUGUUUCUCCUUGUCUCACCGGGGCGGGGGUUUCGAGGGGGAGAGGCUAAUUAUAAAUUUUCCCAAACUGAAAGUUGUGAAAAGAUACUGGACAUAAUAUGCUCACAGGAAAAAAGAAUAUCUGGCAGUGGUUGGUUUUUGUUUUUCCCUAAUACCCAUUAAAAGCCUCUCACAGUAAACCGGUUUACAGCAAUGCUAGAAAUGGAGUUAACGUUUUUAUUUAAUGAAUGG